GGCCAAUUUCUCUGAGCGAGCAAUGAAGUAAUAUUUGUUCGACCUGAUAUAACAAAUAAGACUUUUUUGGUCGUUAGCAGGAAUUGUCC
Molecule: non-coding RNA, 89 nt
Organism: Drosophila virilis
Lineage: Eukaryota; Metazoa; Arthropoda; Insecta; Diptera; Drosophilidae
Source: Rfam